UACAAGGUGAAGUAUGUAGAGUUUUGCUUUGAGAAAUUGGGAGUUAGUUCUGAUUAUGUGUUGACUAUCUUAGAGAAACUGAGAAAGCUUUACAAAGAAUAUGAGCGAGCAUCUCUAGAUACAUCUGUAGCUGAGAGCAGUGGUGAAGAGAACUUUGGAGAUGCCCCUAAUGAUGAGAUGGUUGAGUUUGAACUGUUUGAGAGUCAAUUAUAUUUAGCAAGUAGGUCCAAGUCUCAGUUAGAAGAGUAUCUAGAUGAAAAAUUAGUCAGUUGGAAGAAAAAUGAUCAUUUGAAUGUUCUCGAGUAUUGGAAAGGCGAAUGCGAGAAGCGUCCUCAAUUGUCGAUGAUGGCUCGAGAUAUAUUGAGUAUUCCUAUUACUUCGGUGGCCUCUGAAUCGGCUUUCAGCAUUGCGGGACGUGUGCUUGACAAGUAUCGAAAUCGUCUUCUUCCGGAGAAUGCUGAAGCUCAAAUUUGUACUGGUUCUUGGUUAGACGGGAUUCCUUCUCUGGCAGACAUUGAAGAAGGAAAUUUAUUAGUACAUGAUUUCAGUAAUCUAGAGGUUUCUGAAUCGAAAGGCGAAAGUGAUUAAGGCUGCUGUUUCCGACUUGAGAAAGGCACAUAAAUUUUCUCCAGAAGAUGAGACUAUAGCAGAAGUUUUCAGUUGCAUUUGGAGCUGAAGUUGCUGUUGUUGCUGAUGCAAUUCUUGUUGCUGCUGCAGCUGUUGAAGAUGAUGUUGCUCCUCUAACUGAAGUUUCAAAAAUUGCUCCAACUCUGGCAUAUACUGGUUAACUGACUGUUGAUGCUGCAGAGAACCUUGAAUUUGUUCAAUAAAUGGCACAGACGAAUUCUGACGAGAAAGCAAGCGCUGCUGCUGAAGCUGCUGUUGCUGUUGCUGCUGCUGCUGCUGCUGCUGCUG
Long non-coding RNA from Asparagus officinalis (garden asparagus), 915 nucleotides. RefSeq lists it as uncharacterized. The record is from RefSeq and is a predicted model, not a curated record. NCBI's taxonomy places the organism in Eukaryota, Viridiplantae, Streptophyta, Magnoliopsida, Asparagales, Asparagaceae. The transcript has 4 exons.